RNAcentral lists this ribosomal RNA (497 nucleotides) under uncultured bacterium. RNAcentral's name for it is "partial 16S ribosomal RNA". It matches the Rfam family "Bacterial small subunit ribosomal RNA", at positions 28 to 507 of the family's 1533-position model. The record is from RNAcentral.
GAUGAACGCUGGCGGCGUGCCUAAUACAUGCAAGUCGAGCGAACGGACGAGAAGCUUGCUUCUCUGAUGUUAGCGGCGGACGGGUGAGUAACCCGUGGAUAACCUACCUAUAAGACUGGGAUAACUUCGGGAAACCGGAGCUAAUACCGGAUAAUAUUUUGAACCGCAUGGUUCAACAGUGAAAGACGGUCUUGCUGUCACUUAUAGAUGGAUCCGCGCUGCAUUAGCUAGUUGGUAAGGUAACGGCUUACCAAGGCAACGAUGCAUAGCCGACCUGAGAGGGUGAUCGGCCACACUGGAACUGAGACACGGUCCAGACUCCUACGGGAGGCAGCAGUAGGGAAUCUUCCGCAAUGGGCGAAAGCCUGACGGAGCAACGCCGCGUGAGUGAUGAAGGUCUUCGGAUCGUAAAACUCUGUUAUUAGGGAAGAACAUAUGUGUAAGUAACUGUGCACAUCUUGACGGUACCUAAUCAGAAAGCCACGGCUAACUACGUG